AGAACUCUAUCGAACAUGCGGUUUGUACUUCGGGUCUACAUUUUCUUUAACAUACAGUGCCACUCCCCUCCCUACUCCCCAAGUAUGACCUGCUCUGUCCUUCAGAUAUAUUUUGUACCCUGGAAUGAUUGUGUCCCAUUGAUUGUCCUCACUCCACCAGGUUUCUGUGAUGCCUAUUAUGUCAAUAUCCUCUUUUAACACGAGGCACUCUAAUUCAGCCAACU
Chelonoidis abingdonii (Abingdon island giant tortoise) is the source of this 224-nucleotide non-coding RNA. Lineage: Eukaryota; Metazoa; Chordata; Testudines; Testudinidae. The record is from RefSeq and is a predicted model, not a curated record.